Molecule: ribosomal RNA, 403 nt
Filed under: uncultured Agaricomycetes
Lineage: Eukaryota; Fungi; Basidiomycota; Agaricomycetes
Description: partial small subunit ribosomal RNA
Rfam family: Eukaryotic small subunit ribosomal RNA
Source: RNAcentral
GCUUGUCUCAAAGAUUAAGCCAUGCAUGUCUAAGUAUAACCAAGUUUGUACUGGGAAACUGCGAAUGGCUCAUUAAAUCAGUUAUAGUUUAUUUGAUGGUCCCUUGCUACAUGGAUAACUGUGGUAAUUCUAGAGCUAAUACAUGCAAUCAAGCCCCGACUUCUGGGAGGGGUGUAUUUAUUAGAUAAAAAACCAACGCGGCUUGCCGCUCGUUUGGUGAUUCAUAAUAACUUCUCGAAUCGCAUGGCCUUGUGCCGGCGAUGCUUCAUUCAAAUAUCUGCCCUAUCAACUUUCGAUGGUAGGAUAGUGGCCUACCAUGGUUUCAACGGGUAACGGGGAAUAAGGGUUCGAUUCCGGAGAGGGAGCCUGAGAAACGGCUACCACAUCCAAGGAAGGCAGCAGG